RNAcentral lists this ribosomal RNA (440 nucleotides) under uncultured bacterium. RNAcentral's name for it is "partial 16S ribosomal RNA". It matches the Rfam family "Bacterial small subunit ribosomal RNA", at positions 338 to 795 of the family's 1533-position model. The record is from RNAcentral.
CCUACGGGAGGCAGCAGUAGGGAAUAUUGCUCAAUGGGGGAAACCCUGAAGCAGCAACGCCGCGUGCAGGAUGAAGGUUUUCGGAUUGUAAACUCCUUUUGUUAGAGAAGAUAAUGACGUUAUCUAACGAAUAAGCACCGGCUAACUCCGUGCCAGCAGCCGCGGUAAUACGGAGGGUGCAAGCGUUACUCGGAAUCACUGGGCGUAAAGCGCGCGUAGGCGGGAUAGCAAGUCAGAUGUGAAAUCCUAUGGCUUAACCAUAGAACUGCAUUUGAAACUGUUAUUCUAGAGUAUGGGAGAGGUAGGUGGAAUUCUUGGUGUAGGGGUAAAAUCCGUAGAGAUCAAGAGGAAUACUCAUUGCGAAGGCGACCUGCUAGAACAUAACUGACGCUGAUGCGCGAAGGCGUGGGGAGCAAACAGGAUUAGAUACCCCUGUAGUC